RNAcentral lists this ribosomal RNA (432 nucleotides) under uncultured bacterium. Its description in RNAcentral is "partial 16S ribosomal RNA". It matches the Rfam family "Bacterial small subunit ribosomal RNA", at positions 29 to 506 of the family's 1533-position model. The record is from RNAcentral.
AACGAACGCUGGCGGCAUGCCUAACACAUGCAAGUCGAACGAGACCUUCGGGCCUAGUGGCGCAAGGGUGCGUAACGCGUGGGAACCUGCCCUUAGGUUCGGAAUAACUCCCCGAAAGGGGUGCUAAUACCGGAUAAUGUCUUCGGACCAAAGAUUUAUCGCCUUUGGAUGGGCCCGCGUUGGAUUAGCUAGUUGGUAGGGUAAAACCCUACCAAGGCGACGAUCCAUAGCUGGUCUGAGAGGAUGAUCAGCCACACUGGGGCUGAGACACGGCCCAGACUCCUACGGGAGGCAGCAGUGGGGAAUAUUGGACAAUGGGCGAAAGCCUGAUCCAGCAAUGCCGCGUGAGUGAUGAAGGCCUUAGGGUUGUAAAGCUCUUUUACCCGGGAUGAUAAUGACAGUACCGGGAGAAUAAACUCCGGCUAACUCCGU